This is a non-coding RNA of Podarcis lilfordi (Lilford's wall lizard), 72 nucleotides long. Lineage: Eukaryota; Metazoa; Chordata; Lepidosauria; Squamata; Lacertidae. The record is from the annotation of a GenBank genome assembly.
CCCUGGAUAGCUCUGCUGGUGAGAGCGGGGUGCUGAGAACACCAAGGCUGCAGGUUCGAUCCCUGUAAGGGA